Molecule: non-coding RNA, 125 nt
Organism: Triticum urartu
Lineage: Eukaryota; Viridiplantae; Streptophyta; Magnoliopsida; Poales; Poaceae
Source: Rfam
AUACUACUCCCUCUGUCCGGAAAUACUUGUCGGAGAAAUGAAUGUGUCUAGACGUAUUUUAAUUCUAGAUACAUCUAUUUUUAUGCAUUUCUUCGACAAGUAUUUCCGGACGGAGGGAGUAGAAU